This 466-nucleotide ribosomal RNA is filed under the name uncultured bacterium. Its description in RNAcentral is "bacterial SSU rRNA". It matches the Rfam family "Bacterial small subunit ribosomal RNA", at positions 926 to 1391 of the family's 1533-position model. The record is from RNAcentral.
CAAGCGGUGGAGCAUGUGGUUUAAUUCGAUGCAACGCGAAGAACCUUACCUACUCUUGACAUCCACGGAAUUCUGCAGAGAUGCCUUAGUGCCUUCGGGAACCGUGAGACAGGUGCUGCAUGGCUGUCGUCAGCUCGUGUUGUGAAAUGUUGGGUUAAGUCCCGCAACGAGCGCAACCCUUAUCCUUUGUUGCCAGCGAUACGGUCGGGGACUCAAAGGAGACUGCCGGUGAUAAACCGGAGGAAGGUGGGGAUGACGUCAAGUCAUCAUGGCCCUUACGAAGAGGGGCUACACACGUGCUACAAUGGCGCAUACAAAGAGAAGCGACCUCGCGAGAGCAAGCGGACCUCACAAAGUGCGUCGUACUCCGGAUCGGAGUCUGCAACUCGACUCCGUGAAGUCGGAAUCGCUAGUAAUCGUGGAUCAGAAUGCCACGGUGAAUACGUUCCCGGGCCUUGUACACACC